Haemorhous mexicanus (house finch) is the source of this 967-nucleotide long non-coding RNA. RefSeq lists it as uncharacterized. The record is from RefSeq and is a predicted model, not a curated record. The transcript is spliced from 3 exons. NCBI's taxonomy places the organism in Eukaryota, Metazoa, Chordata, Aves, Passeriformes, Fringillidae.
GGCGCCGGCAGGGCGGGGCCAGCGGCGCGCACCACCCGGCGCAGGGGGGGGGGAGGCCAGAAAGUGCCUCCCCCCACCCCCCCAGGCCGAAGCGGAAUGGAGCCGUCGGGCGGGAACCGGGCUGUGAGGGAGGGAGCGCCCGGGGGCGUCCAGGGCACAGCGGACACGGUGCUGGGUGCCCUGGGGCUGUUUGGAAACAGGUGGGACUCGGUCAGCUCAGAGGUCUUGUCCAGCCGAAUUUAUUCUGUCAUUCGAUGGUGGCCCCCCCCGCCCCCGGCUGUUUGGGCGUUACAGAUCUGUCCUGGGAAAUUGUGAAUGGCCCAUCCCUGGAAGUGUUCCAGGCCAAGCUGGAUGGGACUCAGGAACCUGGGCUAGUGGAAGGUGUCCCUGCUGGAACGAGAUGGCCUUUGAGGUCCCUUCCAACCUGAGUCAUUCUCCUCCUUUCCUCAAGCCAGGCACCAACCUGGCACAUUUUUAGCCUCCUAGAAUUGCCCUGGUCAGUCAAGGCUCACUCAUGAGGAAUGUCAGCAUACAAGGGAUGUUUGCAGUCAGCUGUUUCCAACCUCCUGGGCCACAGCUAUCCCUGGAAGACAAGAGCUCCACUGGUCACUAAUGCACUGAAAUGAAUCACAUCACUGUCAGGUGACCCCCCACACAUGUAUCUUCCUGCUUCUUUACAAACAUAGAUCAUAAAUGUUCAAUGAACACUUCUGCAUUGUUAUUGACAUUUUAAUCAUGUCCAUCUAGUAAUGGGCCUGUACCAUUUCACUUCUAGGGUUUUCUGGGAUUUAGCGUUGCCAGCUAUGGAUUUCCUUUGAUGUGCUUCACUUCCAAUCACUACUCUGCUUCUCACAGCUUCUUAUUUAUACCAACACUUUCUUAUUUCCUGCUUUCUCCAUUUUGGCUAUUUCUUUUUUAAUUUUACUCACACUCUCCAGUCCAUUAAUAAAACAAGAGUUGUCAAUGG